AGGCCCAGGGUGCCGGGGCCUCGGAUGAACUUGCCUGGAGUGGGUCAGAAAACUUUCAGUAGAGCCCAGAGUAAAAAGGAUGUACCUAUGGGAGGCAGGUGGGGAUGGGUCCCCUGGCUCAAGUGGGGGUCUCCCAGAAAGAGCUUUCAACAAGGGGUUUCAGUAAAGGCUGACAAAUUUGGAGACUGGAAAAAAAGUAUUUUUCCCUCUCCACCCUGGUCUUCUCCUGUAACGUGUGGCCGCCUUUUCCAGCACGGCCUCCUGCCUUCCUGGUGCACUUUUUGGAGAACGUGGUGGAAUCAGAGGUUUCUGGCUGACUCGGUGG
RNAcentral lists this long non-coding RNA (325 nucleotides) under Homo sapiens (human). RNAcentral's name for it is "long intergenic non-protein coding RNA 511". The record is from RNAcentral. Lineage: Eukaryota; Metazoa; Chordata; Mammalia; Primates; Hominidae.